Molecule: ribosomal RNA, 301 nt
Filed under: uncultured bacterium
Lineage: Bacteria
Description: partial 16S ribosomal RNA
Rfam family: Bacterial small subunit ribosomal RNA
Source: RNAcentral
CAGCCGCCGCGGUAAUACGGAGGAUCCAAGCGUUAUCCGGAAUCAUUGGGUUUAAAGGGUCCGUAGGCGGUCUUGUAAGUCAGUGGUGAAAGCCCAUCGCUCAACGGUGGAACGGCCAUUGAUACUGCAGGACUUGAAUUAUUGGGAAGUAACUAGAAUAUGUAGUGUAGCGGUGAAAUGCUUAGAGAUUACAUGGAAUACCAAUUGCGAAGGCAGGUUACUACCAAUUGAUUGACGCUGAUGGACGAAAGCGUGGGUAGCGAACAGGAUUAGAUACCCGCGUAGUCCCUGUCUCUUAUAA